AGUAACUGUUCUCCUGCCUCAGGAUCCCUAUGAGGAUGAAGUGUGACUAUGUAUAUAAAAACAUUUUGUUUAUUGUACAGCACUGUAUACUGCCAUCUUAUUACAUAAAGAAAGGAAGGUGGGAGGUAGUAGAGCGGAAUGAUUAAGAGCUAGGCUCUGGCCGGGCACAGUGGCUCACGCCUGUAAUCCCAGCACUUUGGGAGGCUGAGGUGGGUGGAUCACUUGAGGUCAGGAGUUUGACCUGGCCAACAUGGUGAAAGCCCAUCUCUACCAGAAAAAAAAAAAGAAAGAAAGAAAGAAAUUAGCCAGGUGUGGUGGUAGGUUCCUGUAAUCCUAGCUGCUAGCUUCUCAGGUGGCUGAAGCAGAAGAAUCACUUGAACUUAGGAGACAGAGGUUGCAGUGAGACGAUAUGGUGCCACUGCACUGCAGCCUGGGCAACAGAGUGAGACUCCAUCUCAAAAAAAAAAAAAAAAAAAAAAAAAAAGCUAAACUGUGAAGUCAGUUUGCCAGGGUCUAUGAGUGGAAAUGUUACAAAGAAGUUUCUUAUGAAAACAUGAGUCUCGAAUGAGCCAAAGGCAGUGAUGCCCAGGAAUGGAGUUGUGGUAACUUAAAGGAAUGUAUCAGUCAUCUGUUGCUCUAUAAUGAACCCCAAAACUUAGUGGCUUCAAAUAAUGAGCUUAUUCUUUCACACAGUCUCCGUGGAUCAGGAAUCGAGAGCACCUUAAUUGGGUGCUUCUCACUUGGCGUCUCUUGUGAGACUGAAGUCACCCAGGGUUUAGACUGGGACUGGAGGACCCACUUCCCCGAUGGCUCACCCACUGUGGCUGGCCCUCUCCACAGGUCUGGACUUGGGAGAGGGAUCUGGACUGAAGUGGAGGAAUCCAGUGCAAGUAGUGGAACCCUCUGAAAUCUUGGUUUGUGACUACAAAUGCUAUUCCAAUAUUUGAAGCUAAUAAGUCCAUCUAAGUUUGCUGCAUGGAAAUACAUUCAAUCAAUCAUCCAACAUUAUGAGGUGUCUCCUGUAUUGCAGAAAGAUGAAUAGCCAACAAAGGCUGAUGAUAACCACCCCCCCGCCCCCCGUCUCCCUUCUUCCUCUCUCUGUCAAAGCAUGAGAAGCAUCUGAAUAUUCAGUUUCCA
RNAcentral lists this long non-coding RNA (1137 nucleotides) under Macaca mulatta (Rhesus monkey). RNAcentral's name for it is "lncRNA (ENSMMUG00000050224.1)". The record is from RNAcentral. Lineage: Eukaryota; Metazoa; Chordata; Mammalia; Primates; Cercopithecidae.